UACAGAGGUCUCAAGCGUUGUUCGGAUUCAUUGGGCGUAAAGGGUGCGUAGGCGGCGCGGUAAGUCGGGUGUGAAAUCUCGGAGCUUAACUCCGAAACUGCAUUCGAUACUGCCGUGCUUGAGGACUGGAGAGGAGACUGGAAUUUACGGUGUAGCGGUGAAAUGCGUAGAUAUCGGGAGGAACACCGGUGGCGAAGGCGGGUCUCUGGACAGUUCCUGACGCUGAGGCACGAAGGUCAGGGGAGCAAACGGG
RNAcentral lists this ribosomal RNA (253 nucleotides) under uncultured bacterium. RNAcentral's name for it is "partial 16S ribosomal RNA". It matches the Rfam family "Bacterial small subunit ribosomal RNA", at positions 524 to 776 of the family's 1533-position model. The record is from RNAcentral.